This 497-nucleotide ribosomal RNA is filed under the name uncultured bacterium. RNAcentral's name for it is "partial 16S ribosomal RNA". It matches the Rfam family "Bacterial small subunit ribosomal RNA", at positions 28 to 507 of the family's 1533-position model. The record is from RNAcentral.
GAUGAACGCUGGCGGCGUGCCUAAUACAUGCAAGUCGAGCGAACAGACGAGGAGCUUGCUCCUCUGACGUUAGCGGCGGACGGGUGAGUAACACGUGGAUAACCUACCUAUAAGACUGGGAUAACUUCGGGAAACCGGAGCUAAUACCGGAUAAUAUAUUGAACCGCAUGGUUCAAUAGUGAAAGCCGGUUUUGCUGUCACAUAUAGAUGGACCCCCGCCGCAUUAGCUAGUUGGGAAGGUAACGGCUUACCAAGGCAACGAUGCGUAGCCGACCUGAGAGGGUAAUCGGCCACACUGGAACUGGGACACGGCCCAGACUACUACGGGAGGCAACAGUAGGGAAUCUUCCGCAAUGGUCGAAGGCCUGACGGAGCAACGCCGCGUGAGUGAUGAGGGUCUUCGGAUCGUAAAACUCUGUUAUUAGGGAAGAACAAAUGUGUAAGUAACUAUGCACGUCUUGACGGUACCUAGUCAGAAAGCCACGGCUAACUACGUG